Molecule: ribosomal RNA, 253 nt
Filed under: uncultured bacterium
Lineage: Bacteria
Description: partial 16S ribosomal RNA
Rfam family: Bacterial small subunit ribosomal RNA
Source: RNAcentral
GACAGAGGUUGCAAACGUUGUUCGGAAUUACUGGGCAUAAAGAGCACGUAGGCCGUCCGCUAAGUCAGGUGUGAAAUCCCCCGGCUCAACCGGGGAAUAGCACCUGAUACUGGCGGGCUAGAGGUCGAUAGGGGUGAGUGGAACUCCAGGUGGAGCGGUGAAAUGCGUAGAUAUCUGGAGGAACACCGGUGGCGAAAGCGACUCACUGGAUCGAAUCUGACGCUGAGGUGCGAAAGCUAGGGUAGCAAACGGG